AUGUGUGGCUGGUGCCGUAUCCAUAGCGACCAUCAACCCCAACCCGGCUGAUCCCUCCUUGGACGAGCGUAUUAGCAUGCAUGAACAAAGUCCGGGGCUCGUCCCUGAUUGGCCGUGCCGGCUCCUGGCGUGGGCUCGUGGCUGCAGAAGCCCCAGCUGGCCGCGUGCUGCCCUGCCAUCAAGCUCGCGCCUGCUGUAUUCCACAUGACUGGCCUUGUCCUCGAGCGCCCAGCUUACACGCUCCUGUGUAGUGAAUGUCGGUGCCAGCGAGUCUCACUGAAGCACAUGAACCCAUGGCUGCCUUCCUAUGACUGCUACCAACACGCCGCAGCAGCUGAACCUCAAGAAAUGAUUAACCUGACAUAAUCUCUGCUUGUUCUCUUCAUUGUUUCUUUUAUUAUUUUCCCUUUUCGCAGCUAAAAGCUACGUUUGGCAACCCGUCACCUGUCACAUUUGCCCUCUCGUUUGAUUCUUCGCCGCCUCUGUCCCAGCCCUCUGGCCCAGAUAAAAAGAAACCUCUUCUAAGGUGUUUGAAAUUCCUCUUCCUCUCAUCUGCAAACAGGCUGCUGUGUUCAGAGAUGGAGCCCAUGAAAACAGAAGAGAUGACCUAUAUUAUCUGGGAUGGGAGAUCAAAGAAGGCUUGCUCACUGAUCCCAUGAAGCUUGCAUCUUACAAGCCCCCCCUCCUGAAUUAGUCCCGAUUGCGCAACAGCUCCUCUGCAAAAUGUGGCCAUGAGGCUGAAACAGGGCGAAAACAGUUUCCGCUGCAGCUGCUCGUCUUACAAGAUUCACGAUCCAGCAGUUCAGGAGAGCUGAGGCUUUUGAUGUUGUCAUAAAGCUUUUCUUAAGGUUUUGCCCCAACCUGGUCUCUGUAGCGAAGUGAACAAGCUUUAGAUGUGAACUUUCACCUUCUGUAGGACCAUAGAUUUAGUUAAAGCAAACGCCAUUG
Long non-coding RNA from Gambusia affinis (western mosquitofish), 948 nucleotides. RefSeq lists it as uncharacterized. The record is from RefSeq and is a predicted model, not a curated record. NCBI's taxonomy places the organism in Eukaryota, Metazoa, Chordata, Actinopteri, Cyprinodontiformes, Poeciliidae. The transcript has 3 exons.